RNAcentral lists this ribosomal RNA (301 nucleotides) under uncultured bacterium. RNAcentral's name for it is "partial 16S ribosomal RNA". It matches the Rfam family "Bacterial small subunit ribosomal RNA", at positions 509 to 809 of the family's 1533-position model. The record is from RNAcentral.
CAGUCGCCGCGGUAAUACGAAGGGGGCUAGCGUUGCUCGGAAUGACUGGGCGUAAAGGGCGCGUAAGCGGCUUGUACAGUCAGAUGUGAAAUUCCUGGGCUUAACCUGGGGGCUGCAUUCGAUACGUGCGGGCUAGAAUGUGAAAGAGGGUCGUGGAAUUCCCAGUGUAGAGGUGAAAUUCGUAGAUAUUGGGAAGAACACCGGUGGCGAAGGCGGCGACCUGGUUCAUGAUUGACGCUGAGGCGCGAAAGCGUGGGGAGCAAACAGGAUUAGAUACCCCCGUAGUCCCUGUCUCUUAUAA